ANAGGGAAGGAAUUUGAAAUCCAUGCGGCAAGGUAAAACACUUCAUAAUUUUGAAAUCACCUCUUGAAAUUCGAAUUUAAUCCAUUCAAAAACUCAUACGCCACCUUGGCUGAUGGUUUGAGUGAUUAAAAUCAUUUAACACAUUGCUUAAUGUUUGAAUUUAAAUUCAAAUAACAAACAAUGUCGCCAUGUGUCAAGCAAUGGGUUCAUGUGCCAUGCAAUAAUUUUGGUUUAUUUAAAAUUCAUGAAAUCCAAUUCCAUGUCACCAAUAAUUGCCACAUCA
RNAcentral lists this long non-coding RNA (283 nucleotides) under Phoenix dactylifera (date palm). RNAcentral's name for it is "long non-coding RNA (PDAC_LNC022453)". Lineage: Eukaryota; Viridiplantae; Streptophyta; Magnoliopsida; Arecales; Arecaceae. The record is from RNAcentral.